UCUACGUGGGGCUGCAGUGGGGAAUAUUGGACAAUGGGCGAAAGCCUGAUCCAGCCAUGCCGCGUGUGUGAAGAAGGCCUUCGGGUUGUAAAGCACUUUCAGUGGGGAAGAAAGCCUUGGGGCUAAUACCCUCGAGGAAGGACAUCACCCACAGAAGAAGCACCGGCUAACUCCGUGCCAGCAGCCGCGGUAAUACGGAGGGUGCGAGCGUUAAUCGGAAUUACUGGGCGUAAAGCGCGCGUAGGCGGUCUGAUAAGCCGGUUGUGAAAGCCCCGGGCUCAACCUGGGAACGGCAUCCGGAACUGUCAGGCUAGAGUGCAGGAGAGGAAGGUAGAAUUCCCGGUGUAGCGGUGCAAUGCGUAGAGAUCGGGAGGAAUACCAGUGGCGAAGGCGGCCUUCUGGACUGACACUGACGCUGAGGUGCGAAAGCGUGGGUAGCAAACAGGAUUAGAUACCCGAGUAGUC
RNAcentral lists this ribosomal RNA (465 nucleotides) under Vreelandella stevensii. RNAcentral's name for it is "partial 16S ribosomal RNA". It matches the Rfam family "Bacterial small subunit ribosomal RNA", at positions 338 to 795 of the family's 1533-position model. The record is from RNAcentral. Lineage: Bacteria; Pseudomonadati; Pseudomonadota; Gammaproteobacteria; Oceanospirillales; Halomonadaceae.